AUGCCCCCCCGAACUCUUGACGAGCACAUCCUGAGCAUCGAGGCUCGCCUCUGGUCGGCUCACCGGAUGCUGCGCCGGCUCCAGCGCGUCGGUGCCCAGGUGAUUGCCGCCCUUUGGCCGGAUGUGCAAGCUCCGCGCACCCCCAGCCUAACGGCCAACUGGCUGGAGGUCGCGGCUGGUCGUCUUGAGGCCUGGAAGGGCUCUUCGGCCCGGGCUGGAGCGCGCCGGGCCUUGGAGUUCGUCAAGGCGUGGUACCCGGGGCUAGAUCUAGACAGGUUGGCCACGCUUCGGUCGGAGGCCCAGCCGGAGCUGGCGGCUGCGGAAGACGUCCUCGUCAAACGUGCUGCGGCGAUUGCCGAGUACACCGACACCAGCAUCUUCGUCCCCGAGCGGUCUGAAGACGGCGAGGAGGUACCGCCGGAGUGGUUUGGGAUGAACCCGGACUACGGCGAAGACUCGGCAGAGGUGAUUGACUCCAGCGUCGAGGAGGAGAACGAAGCGGAGGAUGGAGGCGAGGCGGAGGCACCAGAAGACGGAGCAGACGGCUAG
RNAcentral lists this ribosomal RNA (549 nucleotides) under Triticum aestivum (bread wheat). Its description in RNAcentral is "partial small subunit ribosomal RNA". The record is from RNAcentral. Lineage: Eukaryota; Viridiplantae; Streptophyta; Magnoliopsida; Poales; Poaceae.